UCAGUCGACUCCUACGGGGAGGCAGCAGUGAGGAAUAUUGGUCAAUGGGCGCAAGCCUGAACCAGCCAUGCCGCGUGCAGGAAGACUGCCUAUGGGUUGUAAACUGCUUUAUACAGGAAGAAACACUACCCUCGUGAGGGAGCUUGACGGUACUGUAAGAAUAAGGAUCGGCUAACUCCGUGCCAGCAGCCGCGGUAAUACGGAGGAUCCAAGCGUUAUCCGGAAUCAUUGGGUUAAAGGGUCCGUAGGUGGAUUAGUAAGUCAGAGGUGAAAUCCUGCAGCUCAACUGUAGAACUGCCUUUGAUACUGCUAGUCUUGAGUCAUUAUGAAGUGGUUAGAAUGUGUAGUGUAGCGGUGAAAUGCAUAGAUAUUACACAGAAUACCGAUUGCGAAGGCAGAUCACUAAUAAUGUACUGACACUGAUGGACGAAAGCGUGGGGAGCGAACAGGAUUAGAUACCCUGGUAG
Molecule: ribosomal RNA, 467 nt
Filed under: uncultured bacterium
Lineage: Bacteria
Description: bacterial SSU rRNA
Rfam family: Bacterial small subunit ribosomal RNA
Source: RNAcentral